RNAcentral lists this ribosomal RNA (495 nucleotides) under uncultured bacterium. Its description in RNAcentral is "bacterial SSU rRNA". It matches the Rfam family "Bacterial small subunit ribosomal RNA", at positions 29 to 507 of the family's 1533-position model. The record is from RNAcentral.
AGUGAACGCUAGCGGCAGGCUUAAUACAUGCAAGUUGAGGGGCAGCAUGAUAUACGCGAGUAUAUUGAUGGCGACCGGCGGACGGGUGAGUAAUAGGUAGGAGACCUACCUCAUACAGGGGGAUAGCAUAGAGAAAUCUGUGGUAAUACCCCCAUGAGGUUAUAUGAAUAGAGGCAUAUAAUCAAAGCAUAAGCGAUUAUGCGGUAUGAGAGGGGCCUACUGACCAUUAGCUAGUUGGUGAGGUAAGGGCUCACCAAGGCGAAGAUGGUUAGGGGUUUGAGAGAGAGACCCCCCACAUUGGAACUGAGAGACGGUCCAGACUCCUACGGGAGGCAGCAGUAGGGAAUAUUGGGCAAUGGGCGAAAGCCUGACCCAGCCAUGCCGCGUGAAGGAAGACGGCCUUAUGGGUUGUAAACUUCUUUACUACGCGAAUAGAGGUUAGUACGAGAUACUAAUAGGAAGGUAGUGUAGUAAAAAGCACCGGCUAACUCCGUG